Long non-coding RNA from Musca domestica (house fly), 369 nucleotides. RefSeq lists it as uncharacterized. NCBI's taxonomy places the organism in Eukaryota, Metazoa, Arthropoda, Insecta, Diptera, Muscidae. The transcript has 2 exons. The record is from RefSeq and is a predicted model, not a curated record.
UCUUUUUGGUAUGGAAAGAUAAACACUAUGUUCUGGGAUUGGGUGUUAAUUUCAUAGUAAAUAGGAAGAAGGUGUUCAAAAGUGCAUUAAGCAGAAAAACAACAACAAUAAGAGUAAAAAAUAAAGACAUUUUCCAAAUGAAAGCGAAAAAGAGGCUACUACUAACCAACAUUAAACAAAGGAUUCACUAAAAACUAACCAAGUUUACAAAAAAAAACAAAACAAAACUACAAUUAACAAAGAAAAAGUUAUUGCUAUAAACAUUUAUGCAUUCCCCUAAUUGCAAAUAAAUAAAUACAAAAAAAGAAAACCCAAAAUAAUUUUGGAAAAAGAAAAUCAAGACAUUUUAACAAAAAAAAAAAAAGAAAA